ACGUAGGAGGCGAGCGUUAUCCGGAUUUACUGGGCGUAAAGGGUCCGUAGGCGGCUUUGUGCGUCGGUGUCAAAUCUUGGAGCUCAACUCCAAGACCGCCAUCGAUACGGCAAGGCUCGAGCAUGGGAGAGGUACGCGGAAUUGCCGGUGUAGUAGUAAAAUGCGUUAAUAUCGGCAAGAACACCAAAUGCGAAGGCAGCGUACUGGAACAUUGCUGACGCUCAGGGACGAAAGCGUGGGGAGCGAAAGG
Molecule: ribosomal RNA, 250 nt
Filed under: uncultured prokaryote
Description: partial 16S ribosomal RNA
Rfam family: Bacterial small subunit ribosomal RNA
Source: RNAcentral